UAGAUAGAUGCUCGCUGGUUUGGGCGCUUAGCUGUUAACUAAGAUUUUGUAGGAUCGAAGCCUGCCUGUCUAG
RNAcentral lists this transfer RNA (73 nucleotides) under Strongylura anastomella. RNAcentral describes it as "tRNA-Asn". Lineage: Eukaryota; Metazoa; Chordata; Actinopteri; Beloniformes; Belonidae. The record is from RNAcentral.